Molecule: ribosomal RNA, 429 nt
Filed under: Chloroflexota bacterium
Lineage: Bacteria; Bacillati; Chloroflexota
Description: Chloroflexi bacterium partial 16S ribosomal RNA
Rfam family: Bacterial small subunit ribosomal RNA
Source: RNAcentral
UGGGGAAUAUUGCACAAUGGGCGCAAGCCUGAUGCAGCCAUGCCGCGUGUGUGAAGAAGGCCUUCGGGUUGUAAAGUACUUUCAGCGGGGAGGAAGGGAGUAAAGUUAAUACCUUUGCUCAUUGACGUUACCCGCAGAAGAAGCACCGGCUAACUCCGUGCCAGCAGCCGCGGUAAUACGGAGGGUGCAAGCGUUAAUCGGAAUUACUGGGCGUAAAGCGCACGCAGGCGGUUUGUUAAGUCAGAUGUGAAAUCCCCGGGCUCAACCUGGGAACUGCAUCUGAUACUGGCAAGCUUGAGUCUCGUAGAGGGUGGUAGAAUUCCAGGUGUAGCGGUGAAAUGCGUAGAGAUCUGGAGGAAUACCGGUGGCGAAGGCGGCCCCCUGGACGAAGACUGACGCUCAGGUGCGAAAGCGUGGGGAGCAAACAGG